This 252-nucleotide ribosomal RNA is filed under the name uncultured prokaryote. RNAcentral's name for it is "partial 16S ribosomal RNA". It matches the Rfam family "Bacterial small subunit ribosomal RNA", at positions 524 to 776 of the family's 1533-position model. The record is from RNAcentral. RNAcentral also lists the same sequence under 1 other name.
UACGUAGGGGGCGAGCGUUGUCCGGAAUUAUUGGGCGUAAAGGGUUCGCAGGCGGUCUGAUAAGUCAGAUGUGAAAGGCUAUGGCUUAACCAUAGUAAGCAUUUGAAACUGUCAGACUUGAGUUAAGGAGAGGAAAGUGGAAUUCCUAGUGUAGCGGUGAAAUGCGUAGAUAUUAGGAGGAAUACCAGUGGCGAAGGCGACUUUCUGGACUUAUACUGACGCUGAGGAACGAAAGCGUGGGGAGCAAACAGG